RNAcentral lists this non-coding RNA (170 nucleotides) under human gut metagenome. RNAcentral's name for it is "malK-I RNA". It matches the Rfam family "malK-I RNA". The record is from RNAcentral.
AUCUCCUACUCCAUUUCCAUAGGGGAGGGUGAGCGGUAAAAAAGGAGGAAAUCCGCCGGACCGGCGGUGCGGCAGUGUGGAGACCUGCCGUAACGUCCCUGGAGUUUUGCUCUCCAUGGACGAGGGAGUGCUUGCGGAGGCAUCGCUCCUACGGUCCUCAACCUAUGGCA